CUCCUCUUCGUCUCAGCAAAAAGGUGACAGAGCCUUUUCUGUUGCUGGCCCUCAGCUGUGGAACCGACUGCCACCUGACAUCAGAAGUGCCCCUUCAAUUGUGAUAUUCAAAGCCAGGCUCAAAACUCACCUUUUUACAUUGGCCUUCCGGGCAUCUUAAUUGUCUUAUCCUGCUAUGUUUGUAAUUAAGUGUUUGUCUUUUGAUGUCGUUUUAGCCUAAAUCACUGAUUUGUAAGUGUAUUUUAUUUUAUUUUAUGACCCUGUGGCUAAUGCGCUAUGUACAGCACUUUGG
This is a long non-coding RNA of Sander lucioperca (pikeperch), 292 nucleotides long. RefSeq lists it as uncharacterized. The transcript has 3 exons. The record is from RefSeq and is a predicted model, not a curated record. Lineage: Eukaryota; Metazoa; Chordata; Actinopteri; Perciformes; Percidae.